AGAGUUUGAUCAUGGCUCAGAAUCAACGCUGGCGGCGUGCCUAACACAUGCAAGUCGAACGCGAAAGUCCCGCAAGGGACCGGUAGAGUGGCAAACGGGUGAGUAACACGUGGGUGACCUGCCUUCGAGUGGGGGAUAACGUCCCGAAAGGGACGCUAAUACCGCAUGACAUCCUGCUUUCGAAGAAGCGGAGAUCAAAGCUGGGGAUCGCAAGACCUGGCGCUUGAAGAGGGGCCCGCGUCCGAUUAGCUAGUUGGUGGGGUAAUGGCUCACCAAGGCUCCGAUCGGUAUCCGGCCUGAGAGGGCGGACGGACACACUGGGACUGAGACACAGCCCAGACUCCUACGGGAGGCAGCAGUGGGGAAUUGUUCGCAAUGGGCGCAAGCCUGACGACGCAACGCCGCGUGGAGGAUGAAGAUCUUCGGGUCGUAAACUCCUUUCGAUCGAGACGAACGGCCCUUGGGUUAAUAGCCUGAGGGAGUGACGGUACCGAGAGAAGAAGCCCCGGCUAACUACGUGCCAGCCGCCGCGGUAAUAC
This 539-nucleotide ribosomal RNA is filed under the name uncultured bacterium. Its description in RNAcentral is "bacterial SSU rRNA". It matches the Rfam family "Bacterial small subunit ribosomal RNA", at positions 8 to 526 of the family's 1533-position model. The record is from RNAcentral.